RNAcentral lists this small RNA (4377 nucleotides) under Rattus norvegicus (Norway rat). Its description in RNAcentral is "uncharacterized LOC102553943". Lineage: Eukaryota; Metazoa; Chordata; Mammalia; Rodentia; Muridae. The record is from RNAcentral.
CUGUGCUUGUGUGUACAGAUGCAUAUAGGCCAAAAGAAGGACCCACAUGGCUUCAUUCAUAACCUUACAACUUUUUUUUAUAGAUCUUUAUACCCAGGAAUUUGUCUGUUCCUUCUAAAUCAUCUAGAAUUUCUCAAAGGAAAAGAUAAUUCAUUGUCCUGUUGCCUAAAAGCAGUUGCUGCAGAUGUUUGGAGAGAAGGUGUAUAUAAACACCCUGAAGAGAUAAUGUCUCUCACCAGCAUGGAACUCACCAAGCAGGCUAGGCAGGCGAGGCUGCUCAGCGAACCCUAGAGAUUUGUCUGUCUCCAUGUUUCCAACCCUGGCAUUACCAGCUUGCUGCAACACACCUGGCAUCUGGGGAGAGAACUCAGGUCUCUAUGCUUGAGAGGCAAGUAUUUUACUAACUGAUCCAUCUCCAUAGUUGUUCUUUAUAUUUUUAACCUAAAAAGAAAAGAAAAAGAAAAAGAAACGUGUAGCUUCCUUUCAAAGGAUGAGGCUCUACAGAUUGUUAAAUUGCUUCAGGAGACCAGCUUGGUUAGAGGAGAGCCUUAAAAACUUACACGUGAAAAGAUUUAAAGCAUGAGGAAAAUCACACCUGGGCUGAUUCUAAAAUUCCCCCAAAAUGGGAUUUUUUGUUUUGUUUUAUGGGUUUUUUUUAAAUAAAAGGGCUUUUCUUCUUCUUUUGGUACUUGGUUGAAUUUCAGAACUUUAGGAAAUUCUUUGGGUCAUCUGGUUGACCUUUAAGCACUUUCUACUUGCCAAACUCCUAAUUUCUCUGAUAUAGAAUACAUUGGAUUUUUAAGUAGGGGCUUUCCAAUUUACCCUUAAGUUAUCCCCAUCUCUUUAUCUGGUGACUUCCAUUUUAAGAUUUCAAUUUUAGUGAGACAAUUUCAAAGACCGUUAUUCUAUGACAUUAACAUAUGAACUAAUAUUACUUUUAUUUAAUAAUUUGAUGUGGAGAAAAUAAAAUAUAAAGAUGGAAUGCCUAAUGAAACCAGGGUUUCCAGAAGGAAGAGCCAACAGCAGCAGUAAAUUAUAGUUAUUUUUUGACCAAGAAUUUAAACCUUGUUAUUAAAAUAUUAUUUCUUAUGAAAUAUUUAGUGAUUGAUUAUUUUACAGAUUUCAGGACAUAUCAUUUAGUAAACCACUUAGGAAAAAGAAUUCAUGUCUAGAUGUUUAGCAUAGACAUUUCAACAAUGAAAACUGUUUUUACACCUCAUAGAAGGGCUUAAAACUUACAUAAGAAAUGGUGUGGUGUCAGAGGCAGUUAUAUGAACAGGACAUCUCUACCAUCCCUAGGUUUGGGACAAUAGAAUUUGGUGUUGUCAGAAUUCAGAAGCUGGGUUGCCUGGUGAGAGUUGGGACUACAGCAGGAAGGGCAUAGUUGGUGGGAUCUAGUUUCUUUGGAGUUACUAAUUCCUCGGUAAACUCCAAAAGUGUCUCGGGAAUGUGUCCUAACUGUGAUUCUAAGAGAGGAAAGGGAGUGAAUUUAUCUGAAAACCUUCCAGUAAAUGACUGGAUUAAUGAGAACCAGUAGUGAUGUCAACUGACUCAGUGAUAUAUGAGUUCUCAGAGUCAGAGAUGAGACAGCUGGCCUAUUGUCAGUGUGCAGCUGGAUAGCUGCUCUAGAAGAGUGGCUGAUUGCAUGAUUACACUUUCCUCCUGGCUUAUUUCCUGAAGGUGCACUGUAUCCAUCCAUAAUGGGCAUGAAGACAUCCAGUGUCUAUAGUCAAGGUGUGAAACUCAACAACGUGGGACCACAAGCAUCAGGCUCAAUGUAGUGACGCUCUCUUUUUCCUGAAAAAGAGGCUAUUCCUGUCAGUAGCUUCUGAGUCAUGUCCAGGGAAGCACAGCCUCUCUCCAUGGAUUCCUACAGCCAGGUUUUCCUAUGACUCCUUGAAAAUGGCAGUGCAGCCUGAAUCUGCUUUAAUACUGGUUUCUUCCCAAGCUGAGUGAAUCUGACCCCUUUCUAACUUGGAACAAAUCACACAUACAAAAUGAAGAUGAAAUGCCUCCAUCCAGCAGCAUAAUCAAGACCAACUGAGAAAGGUUAGCCACGGUCAAAGGAAAUUGAUGAAGAGUGGCUAUUAAGGCAUAGAGCAUAUGUACGCAGAGUACAGUUAAAUAACGGUGAGGUGUGGCCUCUGUGUCUGCAGCUGUGAAAUGUGCCAAGUCACAGCACCUGUUCCGGGACAGAUGUGCUGUGCAGUUAAUGAAGCCUCACCUUUGGGUACCUCUCACGUUCUUUGAGCUUUCUCUUAAGCCCUUGCAGCCAAGUUUCCAGGUUUAAAAUAAAAGACGUCUCGUUAAAUUUGCACAUCAGAUUUUUACAAAGAGUAUGCUUAGUAGGCCUGUGGAAGAAAUUCUGCAGAACCAGAAAGGGACGUGUUAGAAAUCUCAGGUCGUCUGCUACACUGUGGAAGACAGUCUGUGACUUACACUCCUUGUACUUUACUUAAGCAUUAAAAAGAAGGAGAAGAAUCCCGUUGGGCCAUAAGCUACAACAGGAUUGAUUUUUGGCUCCCUGGUAUUUGGAAUUCACACACUGAAACAGCAAAACUCCAUGACACGUGAUCCAUCAGACAGCAAGGCCCAAGGAUGCAGGGUGGUUUUUCUUCCAUGUUGCUUGCUGCUUUGUCAAAAGUUCUUAAAACAAGGCCUGUGCUUAGCAGGUAUUUAUCAGAAGAUUUCUUAUGAUAAGAUAAAUUCAAACGGGAAUGUCAUUUACAGAUGAUGUAAAGAAAUGCUAGCCAGAGGAAGAAGUGACAGAAAAAAAAUGAUAGCUGUGCAAAGCGACCAAGGAAGAGUUGAAGCCUGAAGGUCCGCCUGGAGAGUCUGAGUAAUGAAGAUGAAAACCACAGAUCAGAAGGAAUUCAAGGAAAUUUAUGCUCUGGGUUAGGCUGCUCCUCAAGGCAACAGCAUUAACAACCAUGGUGGUAGAACGGCAGUGCAGCAUCUAUCCAGGUUCGAAGAAGGGAGGGCACUGUGACAGAACCUGUGUAUACCAAAGAUGAAGACUAAUAAGAGAAGUGUGUAAAACCGAAGUCUUCUAGGAUUACCCACAUGUGGGACGUGCAGAGCCUACAAGUGGGCGGCCUCACAAAGUGGGGCUGAAGGUGGACGUUAAGACCAACUGCACAUGGUCACAAAGAAUAGCCCUUUGUUCAGUUUUAUCAUUUUCACCUUUGUGCACGUAUUUGUAAGUAAGUAUGUUCAUGUGAGUGCGGAUGACCGUCUUAGAGCUGGAGGUAUUGGUGGCUGUAAACUGGCUGAUUGAUAAAGGGGCUGGGAACAACUUGGGUGUUUUGUAAGAGCACACUGUAUGUUCUAAACCAUGAUGUCAUUUCAUCUCUCCAUCCCCCACUCAUUUUAAAGAUUGUAUUUGUGUGUGUGUGUGUGUGUGUGUGUGUGUGUGUGUGUGUGUGUGUUUCCAUGUGCACAACCAUCACACGGAUGUGGGUACCCAAGAAGACAGAAGAGGUCAUUGGAUCUCCUGCACCAUAAGUCAUCUGACAUGGGUGUGGGAACUGAACUCCGUUCCUCUGGAGGAACAAGAAACAAUCUUAAUUAGUGAGCAAUGUCUCUACCCACAAAGAGACAGUUUCAAGGCAAUGAAAAUAUUCUAAACCUCAAUCAUGGUGAUGAUUGUACAAUUUACUUAAAAUCAAAACACAAAAAAAACUAAGGAUUUAUUUUACAUAUUAAAGAUCAGUGAGUGAUAUGCUGUUUAAGCAUGCGAAUUUCUUGGCAUAUAAUUCUAAUCUUAAAAAAAAUGUUAGACACAACAACAAAAUUCAAGAGAUAAGGGACAGAAAGGAAAUCAAUAUGGUUAUAGGAGCUUUGCUAGUGUAUCAGGAAAUAAAUUGACCAAAGUCUUGUAGCCUGAAGGAAGCAGAGCAUGAACUUUAGUAAGAGAGGAUUUGGCUCCAAGUUAACACUGGAUGAAGGCAGUGGUAUCAGUUGGGGGGUAAUGGUAGAUUAAUGAGAAGGGAAUACGUUUUAUUUGAAAAACUUCCUGUAAUGGUUUUGAUGCUUUUCUUAGAAAAAAGAGUGUGCAGGAAGGUAGCAAUUUUGAAAACUUAAUUUAGUGAUGGAGCGACAGAUGGAAUCUUUCAAAAAGGCCAGAUGGCAGCAUGAGUGUGAUUAUGCACUGGGUAGGGUGGGUCUAGGUUGGAGGUAUGGGAAAGAAAAGAAAGGGAGUCAUGGAAGGUGAAAGAGUCCUGCCUGAAUGAGUUACCCCACUUUAUUCCAAAGGCCUUUGUGCCUUUACAAAGGAACUUCUUCACAGUAAUUUACAAGGAUCAUACUUUCUCCCAAGCACAAUCCAAGGCUUAUAUUUAUAUAUUUAAUGAUGCUGUAGAUAGAACCUGUGGAUUC